UCGAACUCUCUCUCAGAUUUGUCAAGUAAUCUUUGUCGCCACACGAUCGCGCCUCUUCAGGUGGCUCAAUCUCUACUUCAUUUGCGAUUCGUCACUCUCCAUCCCGGCACUCUAGCUGCUUGAUCUCAGAUUUGUUUGCGAUUUACACUCUCCUCUCACACUCGAGGUACUCUCCCUUUGUCGGUUUCGUUUUCGAUUACUUCUUGCGAGGAGCACUAGCGUGGUGGGGUAA
Molecule: long non-coding RNA, 232 nt
Filed under: Eucalyptus grandis
Lineage: Eukaryota; Viridiplantae; Streptophyta; Magnoliopsida; Myrtales; Myrtaceae
Description: long non-coding RNA (EGRA_LNC006671)
Source: RNAcentral